AGCGAACGCUGGCGGCAGGCCUAACACAUGCAAGUCGAACGAACUCUUCGGGGUUAGUGGCGGACGGGUGAGUAACACGUGGGAACGUGCCUUUUGGUUCGGAAUAACUCACGGAGACUUAUGCUAAUACCGAAUGUGCCCUUCGGGGGAAAGAUUUAUCGCCAUGAGAGCGGCCCGCGUCUGAUUAGCUGGUUGGUGAGGUAACGGCUCACCAAGGCGUCGAUCAGUAGCUGGUCUGAGAGGAUGACCAGCCACACUGGGACUGAGACACGGCCCAGACUCCUACGGGAGGCAGCAGUGGGGAAUAUUGCGCAAUGGGCGAAAGCCUGACGCAGCCAUGCCGCGUGAAUGAUGAAGGUCUUAGGAUUGUAAAAUUCUUUCGCCGGGGACGAUAAUGACGGUACCCGGAGAAGAAGCCCCGGCUAACUUCGUG
RNAcentral lists this ribosomal RNA (433 nucleotides) under uncultured bacterium. RNAcentral describes it as "partial 16S ribosomal RNA". It matches the Rfam family "Bacterial small subunit ribosomal RNA", at positions 29 to 507 of the family's 1533-position model. The record is from RNAcentral.